RNAcentral lists this ribosomal RNA (293 nucleotides) under uncultured bacterium. Its description in RNAcentral is "partial 16S ribosomal RNA". It matches the Rfam family "Bacterial small subunit ribosomal RNA", at positions 29 to 334 of the family's 1533-position model. The record is from RNAcentral.
AACGAACGCUGGCGGCAGGCUUAACACAUGCAAGUCGAACGAGCUUAGGACCAGCUUGCUGGUUACGGCUAGUGGCAAACGGGUGAGUAACGCGUGGGAAUCUACCUGGUAGUACGGAAUAACUGUUGGAAACGAUAGCUAAUACCGUAUACGCCCUUCGGGGGAAAGAUUUAUUGCUAUCAGAUGAGCCCGCGUUAGAUUAGCUUGUUGGUGAGAUAAUGGCUCACCAAGGCUACGAUCUAUAGCUGGUCUGAGAGGAUGAUCAGCCACACUGGAACUGAGACACGGUCCAG